GGGAAACUCACCAGGUCCAGACAAAAUAAGGAUUGACAGAUUGAGAGCUCUUUCUUGAUCUUUUGGAUGGUGGUGCAUGGCCGUUCUUAGUUGGUGGAGUGAUUUGUCUGCUUAAUUGCGAUAACGAACGAGACCUCGGCCCUUAAAUAGCCCGGUCCGCAUUUGCGGGCCGCUGGCUUCUUAAGGGGACUAUCGGCUCAAGCCGAUGGAAGUGCGCGGCAAUAA
Molecule: ribosomal RNA, 225 nt
Filed under: uncultured eukaryote
Lineage: Eukaryota
Description: partial 18S ribosomal RNA
Rfam family: Eukaryotic small subunit ribosomal RNA
Source: RNAcentral